UGACGGGACCGCACAAGCGGUGGAUGAUGUGGAUUAAUUCGAUGCAACGCGAAAACCUUACCUACCCUUGACAUGUCCGGAAUCCCGAAGAGAUUUGGGAGUGCUCGCAAGAGAACCGGAACACAGGUGCUGCAUGGCUGUCGUCAGCUCGUGUCGUGAGAUGUUGGGUUAAGUCCCGCAACGAGCGCAACCCUUGUCAUUAGUUGCCAUCAUUUGGUUGGGCACUCUAAUGAGACUGCCGGUGACAAACCGGAGGAAGGUGGGGAUGACGUCAAGUCCUCAUGGCCCUUAUGGGUAGGGCUUCACACGUCAUACAAUGGUCGGUACAGAGGGUUGCCAACCCGCGAGGGGGAGCUAAUCCCACAAAGCCGAUCGUAGUCCGGAUCGCAGUCUGCAACUCGACUGCGUGAAGUCGGAAUCGCUAGUAAUCGUGGAUCAGCAUGUCACGGUGAAUACGUUCCCGGGUCUU
RNAcentral lists this ribosomal RNA (469 nucleotides) under uncultured Rhodocyclaceae bacterium. Its description in RNAcentral is "bacterial SSU rRNA". It matches the Rfam family "Bacterial small subunit ribosomal RNA", at positions 917 to 1381 of the family's 1533-position model. Lineage: Bacteria; Pseudomonadati; Pseudomonadota; Betaproteobacteria; Rhodocyclales; Rhodocyclaceae. The record is from RNAcentral.